Molecule: unclassified non-coding RNA, 306 nt
Filed under: Talaromyces sp.
Lineage: Eukaryota; Fungi; Ascomycota; Eurotiomycetes; Eurotiales; Trichocomaceae
Description: partial contains 5.8S ribosomal RNA, internal transcribed spacer 2, and large subunit ribosomal RNA
Source: RNAcentral
AACGCAAGUUGCGCCCGAAGCCAUUAUGCCGAGGGCACGUCUGCCUGGGCGUCACGCACAUCGUCGCCCUCCGCCUCGGCCCGUAAAGGGAUCGCGGGUGUUGGGUCGGAUAUUGGCCCCCCGUGCGCUUCGGCGCGCGGUCGGCCCAAAUGUGAUUCGGCAUCGACGCGUGCCGCGACGAUUGGUGGUUGAAGAACUCAACUCGCGCGUUGUCGCGGCGUCGUUCGGCUCGAACGUGUUGACCCCGACGGUGCAUCGCACCUCGACAGCGACCCCAGGUCAGGCGGGAUUACCCGCUGAGUUUAA